This 251-nucleotide small nuclear RNA is filed under the name Callithrix jacchus (white-tufted-ear marmoset). RNAcentral describes it as "7SK RNA". It matches the Rfam family "7SK RNA". Rfam says of the family: 7SK was discovered as an abundant small nuclear RNA in the mid-70s but a possible function has only recently been suggested. Two independent studies have found that 7SK RNA binds the CDK9/cyclin T complex (known as elongation factor P-TEFb). Lineage: Eukaryota; Metazoa; Chordata; Mammalia; Primates; Cebidae. The record is from Rfam by way of RNAcentral.
GGGUGUAAAGGCUAUCUGGCUGCAACAUCUGUCACUUCCAUGAUUGCUGGGGUUGACUCAGCUGAUCUGCCUGGCUAGGCAGGGAUUCCCUUCCUCCCUCACCACAGCUUCAGGAGAGAAUGGACAUGAAUCUGUGCUCCCCUGCCAGAACCUCAAAACAAGCUCUCAAGAAAAAAAAAGCAAACAUAAUUCUCAAAAAUAUAACUUCUGUGAACACAUCAGAGACUACAUGUUACAGGACAGCUGAGUAU